UCCCUGGAUGACUAGUGGUUAGGCCUCGGCGCUCUCACAGCCGUUGUCAGGGUUCGAUUCCUGGCCAGGGAA
RNAcentral lists this transfer RNA (72 nucleotides) under Pangasianodon gigas (Mekong giant catfish). RNAcentral describes it as "tRNA-Glu". It matches the Rfam family "tRNA". From Rfam's summary of the family: Transfer RNA (tRNA) molecules are approximately 80 nucleotides in length. Their secondary structure includes four short double-helical elements and three loops (D, anti-codon, and T loops). Lineage: Eukaryota; Metazoa; Chordata; Actinopteri; Siluriformes; Pangasiidae. The record is from RNAcentral.